RNAcentral lists this ribosomal RNA (254 nucleotides) under uncultured Chloroflexota bacterium. RNAcentral's name for it is "uncultured Chloroflexi bacterium partial 16S ribosomal RNA". It matches the Rfam family "Bacterial small subunit ribosomal RNA", at positions 65 to 339 of the family's 1533-position model. Lineage: Bacteria; Bacillati; Chloroflexota. The record is from RNAcentral.
CACGCAGUCUCCUUCGGGUGGCUGAGUGGCGCACGGCUGAGGACCACGUGGGAACAUGCCUCGGAGUGGGGGACAACAGCGCGAAAGCGCUGUUAAUCCCGCAUACGUUCGCAAGAAGAAAGCAGUGAUGCGCUCUGAGAGUGGCCCGCGGCCCAUCAGGUCGUAGGUGGGGUAAUGGCCUACCUAGCCGGUGACGGGUAGCUGGUCUGUGAGGACAGACAGCCAGACUGGGACUGAGACACGGCCCAGACUCC